This 74-nucleotide transfer RNA is filed under the name Triticum aestivum (bread wheat). It matches the Rfam family "tRNA". Rfam says of the family: Transfer RNA (tRNA) molecules are approximately 80 nucleotides in length. Their secondary structure includes four short double-helical elements and three loops (D, anti-codon, and T loops). Lineage: Eukaryota; Viridiplantae; Streptophyta; Magnoliopsida; Poales; Poaceae. The record is from Rfam by way of RNAcentral.
GGGCUUAUAGUUUAAUUGGUUGAAACGUACCACUCAUAACAGUGAUAUUGUAGGUUCGAGCCCUAUUAAGCCCA